GGGCUGCCGCCGGCGCCGAGCCCGCUGUCACGCGUGGGCCGGUUUGAAAGGGCACGUCCUGCGGGACGGACUCAACGCUCCUGCUCCGCGACUGCGGGAACUCCUGUGGCGUGCUCAAAGCAACAGAUGAUGGCAUCUCCUCAAAGGCUCAACUGCCGUGUCUAGCGCCUAAAUAACUUCUUCUGGUGAAGUUUAAAAGGAAAAGGAGGGGAUUCUUUAGGAAAACAGCUUCAAGAACUGAGAGGCUUUUCAUGCUAAAAUUCAAGCCGACUCCAAGCAGGGCUUAUCCUGGACAACAGCAUCUCCCACCCUGUAAGAACGCUCUCUACCUUCCCGUGGGAAGGCAGGCCACGGAAGCUCGCUCCCCGCAGGAGCUGGCUCCCCCAGCAAGGCCGGUUCUGUUCCUGCAGCAAGGGACACGCUGCCGUCCUGGCCUCUGCGAGAGUCGGGGCUGCUGCUGCUGCUGCUGCCUGCCUGUCCCCCACAUUCCUCAGCAGCAAGGCUGGUUUGUGUCAUUAGCGUAGGACAGCGUUACAAAACCCCGCAGCAACACUGAUAUAUAACGUUCUAAAUAAACGUGAGCUUGGAAAACAAAAGCCAAAAAAAAUACAAGGGAGGGUGGACUGACUACCGUGAGAGCCAUCAGCCAGUGUUUCAAAGUAAUAAUUAAAAUUCAUAACAAUUUGACAAGGAAACAGCAUGGCAGUGGAUCCUCAUAACACCCACACAAAGCCAGGAUCUGAUCUAUACGUCUCAGCCAAAAGGAGACAAUCCCCAUGCAUUCAGGACUUUCCUAAACGAGGCUGUGCAGGUAAUGAGGAACACUAUGGUUUUUACACUUGUCUUGCCCUCUUUCAGGUCUCAGUGUUUUGCCCCAGUAGCUCUGUAUGGCAAGACGCAGAAUGUUUUGUACCGGUGGGUACAGAGCAGAUACAGGGCCAAAAUAAAACAGUAAAUCAGUUUAAGCAAAGUUCUUAUAUUUUCAAAAAUCACAUCUGAUGUCAUCUACAUUAUACUGACAGGAGAAAGGAAAACAGAGGCAAGGUGGCCAACCCAUUUUACUUUUACCGCUUCCUUCAUAUAUUUUCUCUUGUCUGCUCAGUAUAGGAACCUGUAGCAUGUCUAACUCACAUCUGGAAGACUCCGUUCCAGAUUAUGAAACUCAGCAACUUCUAAGAAAGCAUUCAAUGACUCCUUUUAAAUUCACUGUGGCUUGUUCACUUUUUGACACUGUUUCAAAGUAUGUCCUAUACUCGGUCUGCAGACAAAUCCAGACUGAACUAGAAACAAUCACACCUCUCUCCUGGCCUCUCUCCAAAGCCUGUGGCCUUCACUUCCAAGAGUGGACAGACAGGACCCAUGCCUUUGUCCCAAGGCUUCCCAGCCUGCCUGUAGUGGCUGCAGUUACACUGAAUCCUCAGGCUGUAAGCUGAAGGUCACUGAUGCAGACAUCCAUCCCCAUCUACAGCUCCUCCAAUGGAGCAGUCAGCUCCGACCGAGCGGAUGCAAAGCCUCGUUGCAGCAGGAUCUUCAGGUGCUGCAGCGACAUCACAACAGCCACAAGGAGACUAAAGACAGACUGAAUCUCAGCAUGCAGGCUAGGCCAGCCAGAGUAUGAGCAGCAACACACUACAUCCUAUUCUCCUUAAUAUCAAUGUCAUUUCUGCAUUAGUGUCCCUGCAGUUUGACAGCUUUAACCCUUUUCAGUCAUAAACUCAGACACUAGUUUCACUCCCAUGAGUACUUAAUGAUUCUUUUUUGGGGAAACUACUAGCCCUGAAGAGAUACACAGCUGCUUCCUUACUAAGGAAACAUACAGCUUAAAGCCAGAACUCUAUCAGACCUGCAAACGUGAUUUACACACUCAGCUGAGUAUUUAAACCAAGAAGCCACAAAACAUGGAUGGAAUAUGGUGCUGCAGUGGUGUGUGGAGCAACAGCAGACAGGGUGAAAAUACAGGUAAGAGUUCUUAACAGUAAACAACUUAAGAGAAACAGCAAAGAUACUCCCAAAGCUUUUCUGAUACAAUUAUUGUUACAUAAAUACCUGGGCUUCUCUUCAAAUCAAAACCAACAUUUGUACUGCAUUACUCACAGCUCUGGGAGUCCACAACACCUGAGAUAAAUGACCUCACCAAUCUCAGGGUUAUUCUGUGUAUUUCAGAGAAGCUGUUUCGUACCUGCUGCAUGGAAGAGAUUGUACAGCAAUGAGCACUGUUUUCUACUCAAUUCUACUUCUCAAUUUGAUACUCAGUUUUGAAAGGGCACUUCUUAGUCUUCACCAACACUGGACAGUGUUACUUCUGCCAGCUAAAACCCUCAAGCCCAUGGAUUUCUAAGGAAGGCCAGAGAUUUCUUUUUUUAAAUGAAACUUGGAACUCAAAGUGCAAGGUUAAGCAAGCAUGGGGAUAUAACCACAAGUCUCAAACCCUGCUUUUGAGGAGACAUACUGAAGCAGCAGAGAAUUCCUCCACUUCUGCAGCUCCUCAGCCCUUUGUCCCACAUCAAGAUCAGCAUUCCCACAGUGUCAAUGUGAACUUGGUAGAGAUGCUCACUUCCAAUUGCUGAACUGUGAACCUCAUUCAUCACCAAGUUCCUGAAUGGAUUCAUCCCUGUUCUCCAUCUACAGUGACAGUGCACAUUAUAAGCAAAUUACUACUACCUACUGAAAAUAGAAGUCCUGUUUGCUGUACUUAGUUGCAAAACUCCACCUCUAUCAUACAUGGCCAACUUAAUGAAUGAGGCAAGUUCUCCAAAGAAGAAUAAGACAGCUGGAAGAGGAAGACUUCUUCACCAUAGUAACAGGAUGGUGAAAAUGCAUGGAUCCUCAUCCUUAUGUCUUCCAUGUUGUCUACUGCCCCUCUGACAGUCCUAUUUUCUGCAGUGUUACUAAUCCAGCAAGAAGAUCCCUGAACUAACUUUCUGCAUGUCUGCAUGCCCAUGGCAGUCAAAUUGCAGUACUAGAGAGUUGAGUUACUACCUUAUUCUUCAGGAUGCUUUGAAACCAGUGGAAGCACAAACACACUUCUCAUACCAAGGAGAGCAUGUCUAGUCAGGGCCACAUGAGGUACUGGAAAGCUGCUACAAGGUCUUCCUGGAGCCAUGUCUUCUCCAAGUUGAAAAAUCCCAACUCUCUGCUUGUUCCCAUAGGAAAGGUGCUGCAGCCCUCUGAUCAACUGCAUACCCCUCCUCUGGACUUGCUCCAACAGGUCCAUGCCUUUAUUAUACUGGGGAUCACAGAGCUAGAAGCAGUUCUCCAGGUGAAGUGCACCAGAGAACACAACACUCCUGUGCACAAGAGCAGCACAGUGGGUGAGAAGUAAAGCAUUCUGCUGGAACACACUUAUGUAAAAAAAAACUAAUUAUUUUAGAGCAGUUAAAACCAAGAAUGCUUCAGCAAUAAACAGCUCCUAUCAAAAAAGUUACCUAAAUACGUGACUAUGCUAUUUUUUUGAUCUUGAAUUAAGGGUGAAAAUGAUGACCCUUUCAGGAUGAGUGAUCCAUCCUACUUUGGCUUAUUCUCUUAUGAAUAAGAAAUACUCAGUAAUUUUCCCAUUUCAAUUUUUUAAGGAAGGUUUUCUUUUUAUUUCUUAAUAAAAAUUGACCAUUUUAAACAUUUGCAGCUU
Cyanistes caeruleus (blue tit) is the source of this 3625-nucleotide non-coding RNA. NCBI's taxonomy places the organism in Eukaryota, Metazoa, Chordata, Aves, Passeriformes, Paridae. The record is from RefSeq and is a predicted model, not a curated record.